GAGGAAGGGGGGGAGGAGGUCAAAUCAUCAUGCCCCCUAUGACCUGGGCUACACACAUGCUACAAUGGACAGAACAAAAGGCAGCGAGACCGCGAGGUUAAGCCAAUCCCACAAAUCUGUUUUCAGUUCGGAUCGCAGUCUGCAACUCGACUGCGUGAAGCUGGAAUCGCUAGUAAUCGCGGAUCAGCAUGCCGCGGUGAAUACGUUCCCGGGCCUUGUACACACCGCCCGUCACACCACGAGAGUUUGUAACACCCGAAGUCGGUGAGGUAACCUUUAUGGAGCCAGCCGCCGAAGGUGGGACAGAUGAUUGGGGGAAGUCGAACAAG
RNAcentral lists this ribosomal RNA (329 nucleotides) under Bacillus atrophaeus. RNAcentral's name for it is "bacterial SSU rRNA". It matches the Rfam family "Bacterial small subunit ribosomal RNA", at positions 1166 to 1495 of the family's 1533-position model. The record is from RNAcentral. Lineage: Bacteria; Bacillati; Bacillota; Bacilli; Caryophanales; Bacillaceae.